Molecule: long non-coding RNA, 439 nt
Filed under: Penaeus japonicus
Lineage: Eukaryota; Metazoa; Arthropoda; Malacostraca; Decapoda; Penaeidae
Description: uncharacterized LOC122258725
Source: RNAcentral
AACACCAAUAACAUUUUUAAGAAGGUAAUAAUGGUAAUGUGGACCAAGUUGAGGAAGUGGAGGAGGUCUGUCUGCCACGUUUAGUGGUGAGAGAUAGAAGGAUCCAGUUGUCAUGCAGUCAGAGGAGGAGUUCUUGAAACGUUAUCAACUGCCAAAGCAGUGCACCAGAAACCUGCGCCAGAAAAUCAGCAGAAAAUUACCCACAGCAAGAGAUGGCAGAGGUUGCAGCUUGUGUUAUGUUGCAUAAUCUAGCCACAACUGAGAAUAUUGAUAUUGUCAAAGAAGAAGACACAUAUGAACUGAGAGCAUGAUGCAGUACACUGCGAAAAUAAUGAUAAUCGUUUAGGGUUUGAUGUCAGAAAAUGUUUGUGAACAAUGGUUUUAGGAUGGCUUAGCAGUCAGAGAAUUUCUGGAUGAAUCAUUAAUUUCCACUUUAAGC